GACGAACGCUGGCGGCGUGCCUAAUACAUGCAAGUAGAACGCAGUUGCGAACGGGUGAGUAACGCGUAGGUAACUGCCUCAUAGCGGGGGGUAACUAUUGGAAACGAUAGCUAAUACCGCAUCCUGUGAGAUGGACCUGCGUUGGAUUAGGUAGUUGGUGAGGUAAAGGCUCACCAAGGCGACGAUACAUAGCCGACCCUAGAGGGUGGUCGGGCAAACUGGGACUGAGGAACGGCCCAGACUCCUCAGGGGAGCAGAAGGAGGGAAACUUCGGCAAUGGAGGGAAGUCUUACCGAGGAAAGCCCGGGGAGUGAAGAAGGUUUUCGGAUCGGUAAGCUAUGUUGUUAGAGAAGCGGUAACUAACCAGAAAGGGCCGGCUAACUACGUGCCAGCCGCCGCGGUAAUUC
This 407-nucleotide ribosomal RNA is filed under the name uncultured bacterium. RNAcentral's name for it is "partial 16S ribosomal RNA". It matches the Rfam family "Bacterial small subunit ribosomal RNA", at positions 28 to 526 of the family's 1533-position model. The record is from RNAcentral.